RNAcentral lists this long non-coding RNA (389 nucleotides) under Arabidopsis lyrata. Its description in RNAcentral is "long non-coding RNA (ALYR_LNC001645)". Lineage: Eukaryota; Viridiplantae; Streptophyta; Magnoliopsida; Brassicales; Brassicaceae. The record is from RNAcentral.
GAGUGAUGUUCCUAACAUUGACAAGAAGAAGUGAGUAUAUGAUACAUCUUAUCUCUAUCUCUUUUGUUGGUUUUAGUACUUUACUGUGGUUGUGAUUGUUUUGUGGAUAAAUUAUAAAUGUUCUUUAUCAGAGCUAAUUUGUUUUGCUGUCUCAAGUGAGUGCAGCCCAAGAUAUUGCAGUCUCAAGUGCAGUCUCAAGUCAAGUCCCAAGUGAGUGCAACCCAAAAUCUAAACAGAUUAGAAAUUAGGCUCAACUUAGAUGAGAACAAGUUUGUUAAUUUUGGCACUUGGAAUCUUAGUUUAAUCCUUGGAUUGAGACAUUUUACUUGUAUGGUGUGGAUGAUUUAUGAAAUGUAAAUAUUUUAUAUAAAUUUCAAAAGAGGUUUUCG